This 440-nucleotide ribosomal RNA is filed under the name uncultured bacterium. Its description in RNAcentral is "partial 16S ribosomal RNA". It matches the Rfam family "Bacterial small subunit ribosomal RNA", at positions 338 to 795 of the family's 1533-position model. The record is from RNAcentral.
CCUACGGGCGGCAGCAGUGGGGAAUAUUGCACAAUGGGGGCAACCCUGAUGCAGCGACGCCGCGUGAGCGAAGAAGUACCUCGGUGUGUAAAGCUCUAUCAGCAGGGAAGAAAGUGACAGUACCUGACUAAGAAGCCCCGGCUAACUACGUGCCGGCAGCCGCGGUAAUACGUAGGGGGCAAGCGUUAUCCGGAUUUACUGGGCGUAAAGGGGGCGCAGGCGGCGCGGCAAGUCAGAUGUGAAAGGCCGGGGCUCAACCCCGGGACUGCAGUUGAAACUGUCGAGCUGGAGUGUAGGAGGGGUAAGCGGAAUUCGUAGUGUAGCGGUGAAAUGCGUAGAUAUUAGGAGGAACACCAGUGGCGAAGGCGGCUUACUGGACGAUGACUGACGCUGAGGCUCGAAAGCGUGGGGGGCAAACAGGAUUAGAUACCCGAGUAGUC